AAAAUUUGUUCUUUCAGAUUCAAACAACACAAUAAAUAAGAUUAAGAAAAUUCUUCUCGAUCGUGCAAAGUUUAAAAUCGAGUCAUCUUUAAAUAACAAAAAGAAAAAAAAAAAAGGAAAAAGAUUGCUAAACGGCAAUUUCAUCGUGAACGGAAAUGACAAAUCGUAGAUACGUCAAGGUACCGAGGAAAGAAAGAUUUGCAAGAAGAUUAUCGCGAUUUCGAUACGGUCGAAGAUUGUUUCCUUUCGUCACACCUGAGCAUACGCCGCGUUUCCAUCGAAUUCGCCUCGGAGGGAACCGUGUUCGAAGCAACAGCUGCCGACCGAUCCCUUCCUCCGAGAAUUAAAACGAGACCCAGUUGCCAAAGAAGGGAGCGUCCCUCGACGAAACCCACCGGCCAUGGUACACUUAUCCUUUCGCCUCGAAUCACCUUUAUAACCAUCCUAAUAUCUCUAGGUUGACCACAUGAUACACGCCGAGGAAUCACUAGUCUAUUCUUGUACGUUGUACUCUUUCAUAACAUCGAACAGUAGUAUGACACGUAGUUUACGCGAGUUCAUUCAUGAUGUUUGGGUUAAAUUAGUUUUACUGUAAAUGUUUGGAUGAUACGGUAAGGAAAAUAAUUUUUGAAAUAUAUAUUUUUACCGUUUAUUGUAUUAGGCGAAUAUUUUAUAAAAAUUGCAUCUUAAAAUUAUUUGGAAAAAUAUAAAAGCAUCAGUAUAUUGCAUCAUAAAAAUAUAUUCGCUGCGUUUAUCUUCAACACAUAUUAAAAGUGAAAUCGUAUCAUCGUUAAAUAGAAAAAAAAAUACUUUACUGAAAUAAUGGAAAGAAAAGAGGCAAUCUUAAUUUUCCUAAUUAGUAAUUGAUAAAAAAACUGGAACAGAAUCGUGUCAUCAUCCAAUAUAGUAUUCAUACGACGGAAAAUAACUGGAUUCUCAAAAAGAAAAAAGAAAAAGAAAAGGUACGCUCAUCUCCUAUAUCAAACAAGGAGGGAGAAAAAAUGGAGCGAAAUACAAAGGGUUUGUUGUACAUUGGUUUCGAGCUUAUUUUUUUUUUUCUUUUUUUUUUUUUUCUUGAAACAAUUAGCAAGCAACUAAUCUGAAGGACGCUCAUUAUGGCAGAGAAACGUAUGUUCAAUACGAAGAUAUCCUUAUCGCUAUUGGAAUGCAAUGGUUGGUUCACUAUUUUUUUUUCUUUUUUUAUUGAUACAAUGACGUUUAUCCAACGAACUGAAAAAGAAAUCGAGAUUCGUCAUGUUCUAAUAAUGAAAAGAUCUUCGAGAGGUAAUUUUUUCAAUUUUUACGAUUAAUAAAAUAUGUUAUCAGUUUGUAAUUGUGCUGUAUUUCACAUAAUUUAUUCUAAGUUUAUACUAAAAUUAAUCAUUGCUAGAAAUUGGCGCACAAUAUUAAUUGCGGACUGAUGAGAGUUCAACGAUAGUAUUAUUAUCGGUAUUUUAUAUUCAUCCCACAAAUCUUUUAUAAUUAUUAGGUCAAUCAUUUCUAUCAUUUCUUACUGUUACAAGUGUGAAAUAGCAAAAAUUGCAGAGAGUAAUUAUUAUUCAAACUUUUGAUAAGCUUGUCUGGUUAUUAUUACUCAAUCAUAUUAUUCAUCGAUAGAAUUGUUAUUCAUAUUCUAAUACGAAACAUUGCACGUAUACAUAGCGACAAAAGAGAUGAUAAUAGGAUUCUCGUUAUUCGAUAAAUACAAUAUGAAUAUAAUGUACGAUAAUCAAGGCACAAAUAGUUCGAGGUAAAUAGUUCGUUGAAUCUACCUUUCCUAAUUUUUUUUUUUUUUUAUCAGAUAGACAAUAUUUUUCAAAUAAAAUUUUCAUUAUCUAUCUACUACUUAUUUAAUAAAAAUAUCCAUUUUUAUAAAUUACGUACUAAUGCUUUCGAGAAUUCUAAAAAACAUAAUUUUCCAUUCUUGAUAAAACGUUUCAUUUUUUAUUAAUUUCCAAAAGUCACGCAAUUGCUUUUAAUUCUAAUUAAUUAAAAACACGGCACACCCUUAUGUGCCUAGGAUAUUUUUCAAAAGAAUUCUUAUUUCAAUUCCCGUGUAUCGUCCCUCCCCAUGAUACACCAUAAGGGAACCAUGUUUCGUUACAAAAUAGACAUAACAAUUAUAGCCAUGUGUUUCCGUGAACCAAGUGCGAUGAAUGUACGGCAUUAUACUCGAGGCCUAAAAAUAGGCGUGCUUCAUCCCCGCGCGGAGGAUAUCUGCAUUAGCCACCGGAAACACUAUAAAGUGGUUUCCGUUUUAGGAACGAAUGGCUGAAGGCGAUCUCGAGGAACACUCGCUCCUUACCGCUAUAUAUUUUCCUCCCCGUUGCUUUUACAAUCAAUGUUGGUGGAUUAACGAUCGUACAGAUUCUUCCAGCCUCCUUCGAGGAAUUCUCACGUCCGCUGACCUUUCCUCUUCCGUCGUUCGAAUCUCCGCGCGUGGAUCUUCGUUUCGUGACUGACGAAAUGCGAAUAGAUCGACGAACGAAAUAAUCCUUCGAGUUUUAGAAAGUAAGUUUUUUUUUUUUAACAUAAAUAAAUAUAAGUUGAAUGGAAUACAGAUAUGGAAUAAGGUAAGAUUAGAAAAAAAAAAAUAUAAUGAUGAUGUAGAGAUUAAUCUAAUCAAAUAAGUCCGUUUUUAAGUAUUAGAAGAAAAAAAUCAAAGAUGGAGAUAAGAAUUCUCAAGAGACGAUUAUAAUUAUUGAACGAUCAUAGAAUUUAAUUUUUCUUCGUUAAUAAUUUUUCCAAAGUUCGUUUUUCCAUUCUCGCAAUUGCGAUUUAAUAUCGCGAAUUACGAAGAACAUGUUAGCAACGUAAAUUUGUGCACAAUUCAUUAGUUGACACGUGAGGCCGAGCAUGGUAAUAGAGGCGAAGGACACCGUGCAAUGUAAUACAAAUUCUGUUCGAGCGUGAUACUGGGCUAUCUCAACUGAGCAUUUGAUUCACCUUGAGAGAUGUUGGACGAAGAAAUCUUGAUAGAAUGUAAUAGAUUGAAAGCCCGUUAGUUUGAUGUGCCAUCGACCGAAUCGAUCAUCUGACAUCAUACGUGACUAAUCAUAAACUUGACGAAUAAGAAGAACUUACCAAACGACUACGUCGUUUUUUGGAAUUAUUUAAUUUGUGAUAAUUUAUAUAUAUUAAAUAAUCAUUAAUGUGUAUAAUUACAAUUAACACUCGCACAAUUUUUUUAGGAAGAAAUUCUCUCAAAAUUUAACGGAAAAUCUAAAGUUUCUUCGAAUACUUGUGAUAUCACUUUCGUGAUAUAAUUAUUUUUUAAAUGAAGCGUUUAAAAUUUGAUCAUCGUCUGAUAGAUGUAAAGUGGUAUUUAGAGAGUAUUACCUCAAGAUCCCAUAAUCGUGAAGUCUGUAGUUCUUGGGAGUAAAGUGUGGUGAUAAAGUUUAAGUGCAUGGGUUCCAUGAAACUUUCUCUUGCCCAUGACUCACUCGAGACGUUACAUAGUUUCUUCCUUAUGUCAUAUCUUCGUCAGUUAUCAAUUUAACCCAACCUUAAUUAUCGACGAUGAUGAUUUAUUACUUAAUCGAACACCAAGACGUGUUACGAAAUCGUUUCCAAUCGAACGAUAUGGAAAUGAAGUUUUACUUUUCGCGCGAGCCAAUUCAAUAGAGAAUUAGUUCAACUUGAGAUUUUUAUCAGCGCUUGUUUUCCAUCCAACUCUUGCAACUCCGUUACUAACCGUUUCUCUCUUUUUAGAUUUUUGCAUGCGAAGAUAUAAUUAUCCCAUAGCAAGGAUGGAUUAAUUAAUUAAGUCCAUAUGCCCGCGAAAAAUGACCGAGUUACAAAAGACCUUAAGGACCUCGACACGUUCUUCUUCGCCCUCGCCUUCGGCCUUGCGCUCUUUCAAAUUAACAAUCUCCAAUUCCCACGAGUGGUGGAGGGAAUUUCACGGUCGAGAAACAACCGUGAACUUCGCGAUCAAUUUCCAUCCAUGGGACGAAAUGUUGUAUAUUCAUUAGCGGAAAUCGCAUUAAUAUUAAUGAAUCUCUUUUUGCUCUAAUAUCUCAUCGAGGUGAAUUUAUGAGAGAUAAAAACGACGUACGCAAAAAGUAAAUGAGAAAAAAGAAAAUGAAAAAUCACAAACAUGUUGAUCCGAUCCAUCGAUGAGGCUUGGAACAAUACUCUUGUUUGUCGAAGUGGCCCAUCGAUAUAGGUUAUCGCGAUGCUUCCAAAUGACAACAAUCCGGGCAAUUCGAUUGAAAUCUUGGCAUCGGUAACAAAAAAAAACAAAAGUGAAUUUUAUUCGAUGAAGACAGGGGAUGACGCAAAUUAACAGGACUUGUCGGGAGACACUCGGUUGAAAUAACGAAUAAAGUGGCGAAAUGGAUUAAAGCAAUAUCCCGUAACAAUUGUAUAACCAUGUGACGUAUUUACGCUCGACGUAAAUCAACUUACAAAGUUCCACAUGCGAGCACAUGCGGAUUGUUUAGAUUUUUAUAUAAUAAAAAGUAUGAGUUAGAUUGAAUGAAAAAAAAAAAUAGAAAUAUGUCGAAGAAAAUUUUAAUUGAAAGAAAAACGAAGAAAAUUUGAUUGCGGAUUAAUAAAUGAAUCGAUAUUAGAAAGUGGAUCGUUCAUGUUAAAUAAAUCUAUGAUAAAUUAAAAGUGAUUUAUCGUUUAAGAGAAAUUAUUAUACGAUCGAGGAGAAAAAAAUCUUUUAUCAGAAUUUUGACAUCAAUAUGGAAACUUGUCAAACAAGGGACAAUCUUUAAAUGCAGUUCUCCUUGUGCUCGCGAUCAAGGUGAUUCGAUUUAAUCAUAUACGAUUAUUUCGUUUCUUUUUUUUCGAUUCGUGAUAAAAUAUCUCUUUUAUAUUUUUACAUAUUUCGAUUGUCAUAUGACAUUAUCGAAUUAAAUUAUAAAUGUAAAAAAUUAAAAAGCACAAUUCGAUGUGUAAUUGAUCUGUAAUUAUUACACAGUAAUUUGAAACUUCCAACAGGUGCAAAAUUUAAACAGUUUCAAGCUUUGAUAUCAGCUCGAUAUCAAUUUGAUAUUUAUUCUCAAUACUUGAUUGAUAGUUUUCUAAAAAAUUGUAUAAAUUCAAAUCUUUCUUAUCAUUUAAUCGAUAAGUAAUAUAAAUGUAAACUUGAAAACUUAUCGUUAUAUCGAUAAAUAUCAUCGAUAUUUAUUCAUAGCGAUUGCUCAAUCAUCUUAAUCAUCUUAUUACUGGCAAGAAUUGUUAUUAAUGAAAAAAUAAUUCGUUUCAAUCUAAUAAAAAUUGGCAGCUUCUUCAUAAUAGAAAACUUCUAUCAAAUAAAUUGAAUACAAAUUGUACGACAUUAUCUAUCUAUAUAAAAUAAAAUCUAUGCAAAAUAUCAUUAUUAAAAUUUUGAUACAUUGAUUAUAAAAAAUUCAAAGAGAAUUUCGAAUUUAUUAUCUCGAUUUAUCUCGUCGAUCAAAUGAAAAGAUAUCGUUACUUCUCCAAUCAAAUGAAGAAGUAUCGUUAUUUCUCCAAUCGUAAGUUGGUUAACAACGUUAAUUCUACGGCCAAUAAAUUAAUCUAAGUGUACUCUGUGUAACGAGGAAAACGAUUUUGCUGGCGGCAGCAUCUUGGAGAAGAGUAAUUCCUUCAAUUUACCCACUGGUUCAUUGAUAGUCAAGCCUUUGACCUAUUUUUCAUGACCGUGAACGAGCUAGAGAGCCAUUAAAAGCGUCAUUGUCACACAACUACUAGAAAGACAUGAAACGAUUCUUUAAUUGCAGACACUUGCCCUGUUAACUGACGUACAUUUAUGUUUGGAACAGUCUAAGAUUAAUAGAGACGAAAUAAAACUGGACAUCGUCAUUUCAAACUUCCUGAAAUAUCUAAUCGAACAAAGAUCAGUGAUCAAAUAGAAUUAUUUAAAUCCUAUCGAUUAUUAUAUCAUUGAUAAUUGUAUAUUUUUUCAUCGAAAUAUAUCUAUUAAAUCUACUAUCAAUGUAAAAUUCUUCGAAUAAAAUAAAAAUGGUGUCUAAGUUUGAGGAACGAGCAUACUUUUCUAAAAAGACACACAUCGGAAAGAGAAGAAAAAUUAUACCUGCGAGGAUUCAGCUGCAACCCCGCAUAAUUUUGAAUAGAAUAAAUUCCACACCACACCCUUCAAACUCUAGAACUUGUUUGAGAAGAUCUUGGCUUCAACAUUU
Molecule: long non-coding RNA, 6134 nt
Organism: Apis laboriosa (Himalayan honeybee)
Lineage: Eukaryota; Metazoa; Arthropoda; Insecta; Hymenoptera; Apidae
Exons: 5
Source: RefSeq, a predicted model, not a curated record